ACCAAAAGUAUGAGGCAGCUAUCAGUAGUGACUCAUUUCUCUCCAUAUCGGCAAGAGACAAUCUAAUGCACUGAUCUAAUUUCCGUUCAACCCAUUGGACUUCAUUUGAGUUACUGACACUCAGGAACCAAUCCUUCCAUCCCUUGGUAGGACUGGGCCAGGAACGGAAGGCAUCUUUCCAUAGAUCUAGAGAAAAAUUCUCGGCUCUAAAGGGGAUUCUGUUUAUUUCUGCGUUUAUAAGAUCGGUGGGAUCUAAGUUUCCUAGUAGACCAAGGCAUUGGAGAUGGGGUUGAUCGGUAGGGAUUGCGAUCUUGUUGGCCAAAUCCUAAAGAUUGUAAGGAUAAAAGAAAAAGUAAAAAGAAGAAAAAAGGGGAAUAUUCAGUAAAAGGAAUUGCGGAUGAACAAAAGUACAGCAUGAGUACGAAAAAAGAAGAGGGGUAAGCUAACCUCAGGGACGACGAAGUUGACGGCCAUUGCUCCGCGGGGAAGAAGAUCGAAAACUUGAGGGUUGGUGGAGAAAGUUCUUGCUGGAGUUCUUGGAGCUAUCGAACAGUGCCGCCGUCAAGAAAGC
This 571-nucleotide long non-coding RNA is filed under the name Sorghum bicolor (sorghum). Its description in RNAcentral is "long non-coding RNA (SBIC_LNC017637)". Lineage: Eukaryota; Viridiplantae; Streptophyta; Magnoliopsida; Poales; Poaceae. The record is from RNAcentral.